RNAcentral lists this ribosomal RNA (429 nucleotides) under Gemmatimonadota bacterium. Its description in RNAcentral is "Gemmatimonadetes bacterium partial 16S ribosomal RNA". It matches the Rfam family "Bacterial small subunit ribosomal RNA", at positions 355 to 776 of the family's 1533-position model. Lineage: Bacteria; Pseudomonadati; Gemmatimonadota. The record is from RNAcentral.
UAGGGAAUCUUCGGCAAUGGACGAAAGUCUGACCGAGCAACGCCGCGUGAGUGAAGAAGGUUUUCGGAUCGUAAAACUCUGUUGUUAGAGAAGAACAAGGACGUUAGUAACUGAACGUCCCCUGACGGUAUCUAACCAGAAAGCCACGGCUAACUACGUGCCAGCAGCCGCGGUAAUACGUAGGUGGUAAGCGUUGUCCGGAUUUAUUGGGCGUAAAGCGAGCGCAGGUGGUUUCUUAAGUCUGAUGUGAAAGCCCCCGGCUCAACCGGGGAGGGUCAUUGGAAACUGGGAGACUUGUGUGCAGAAGAGGAGAGUGGAAUUCCAUGUGUAGCGGUGAAAUGCGUAGAUAUAUGGAGGAACACCAGUGGCGAAAGCGGCUCUCUGGUCUGUAACUGAAGAUGAGGCUCGAAAGCGUGGGGAGCAAACAGG